UACAGAGGGUGCGAGCGUUAAUCGGAAUUACUGGGCGUAAAGCGCGCGUAGGCGGCUUUGCAAGUCGAGUGUGAAAUCCCCGGGCUCAACCUGGGAACUGCAUUCGAGACUGCAUUGCUAGAGUAUGGGAGAGGGAGGUGGAAUUUCAGGUGUAGCGGUGAAAAUGCGUAGAUAUCUGAAGGAACAUCAGUGGCGAAAAGCGACUUCCUGGACCAAUCUGACGCUCAAGUGGCGAAAAGCGUGGGGGAGCAAACAGG
RNAcentral lists this ribosomal RNA (257 nucleotides) under uncultured bacterium. RNAcentral's name for it is "partial 16S ribosomal RNA". It matches the Rfam family "Bacterial small subunit ribosomal RNA", at positions 524 to 776 of the family's 1533-position model. The record is from RNAcentral.